This 211-nucleotide unclassified non-coding RNA is filed under the name Hevea brasiliensis (rubber tree). Lineage: Eukaryota; Viridiplantae; Streptophyta; Magnoliopsida; Malpighiales; Euphorbiaceae. The record is from RNAcentral.
GUAAAAUUCAAAAAAGGAGGGCAUAAGACCAUUCUUUACAACUGAAGAAUUAGGCAGUAAAGAAUAAUCAACAUGCUCAUAACGAUGUGCUUUUAAGUCGUAAAUGAAAUGUGGAAUCAUAAUCUAGGCUUUUCCUAUAGCUCAAAAUCAUAAUUCAAUCAAAAGCACUCUACAAUCACCAUUUUCUUUUGGAAUAUACAACCUUGGACAA